RNAcentral lists this ribosomal RNA (279 nucleotides) under uncultured bacterium. RNAcentral describes it as "partial 16S ribosomal RNA". It matches the Rfam family "Bacterial small subunit ribosomal RNA", at positions 506 to 784 of the family's 1533-position model. The record is from RNAcentral.
UGCCAGCCGCCGCGGUAAUACGAAGGGGGCUAGCGUUGUUCGGAAUUACUGGGCGUAAAGCGCAUGCAGGCGGAUUGUUAAGUCGGGGGUGAAAGCCCGAGGCUCAACCUCGGAACUGCCUUCGAUACUGGCAAUCUUGAGUCCGGGAGAGGUGAGUGGAACUCCGAGUGUAGAGGUGAAAUUCGUAGAUAUUCGGAAGAACACCAGUGGCGAAGGCGGCUCACUGGCCCGGUACUGACGCUGAGAUGCGAAAGCGUGGGGAGCAAACAGGAUUAGAUA